AGAGUUUGAUCCUGGCUCAGGACGAACGCUGACGGCGUGCCUAAUACAUGCAAGUCGAGCGAGCUUGCCUAGAUGAUUUUAGUGCUUGCACUAAAUGAAACUAGAUACAAGCGAGCGGCGGACGGGUGAGUAACACGUGGGUAACCUGCCCAAGAGACUGGGAUAACACCUGGAAACAGAUGCUAAUACCGGAUAACAACACUAGACGCAUGUCUAGAGUUUGAAAGAUGGUUCUGCUAUCACUCUUGGAUGGACCCUGCGGUGCAUUAGCUAGUUGGUAAGGUAACGGCUUACCAAGGCAAUGAUGCAUAGCCGAGUUGAGAGACUGAUCGGCCACAUUGGGACUGAGACACGGCCCAAACUCCUACGGGAGGCAGCAGUAGGGAAUCUUCCACAAUGGACGAAAGUCUGAUGGAGCAACGCCGCGUGAGUGAAGAAGGGUUUCGGCUCGUAAAGCUCUGUUGGUAGUGAAGAAAGAUAGAGGUAGUAACUGGCCUUUAUUUGACGGUAAUUACUUAGAAAGUCACGGCUAACUACGUGCCAGCAGCCGCGGUAAUACGUAGGUGGCAAGGCGUUGUCCGGAUUUAUUGGGCGUAAAGCGAGUGCAGGCGGUUCAAUUAAGUCUGAUGUGAAAAGCCUUCGGCUCUACCGGAGUAAUCGCAUUCCCAAACUGUUGAACCUUAAUGCAGAAAAGGAGAGUGGAAAUUCCCUGUGUACCGGUCGAAUGCCUAAAUAUAUGGAAAAAACCCCCUUGGCUAAAGCGGCUGUCUUGGUCUGCAACUCACCCUGAGGCUUCAAAAUCCGGGGUAGCGAACCGGAAUAAAUCCCCUGGUAAUCC
RNAcentral lists this ribosomal RNA (838 nucleotides) under uncultured bacterium. RNAcentral describes it as "bacterial SSU rRNA". It matches the Rfam family "Bacterial small subunit ribosomal RNA", at positions 8 to 796 of the family's 1533-position model. The record is from RNAcentral.